UACGGAGGGGGCUAGCGUUGUUCGGAAUCACUGGGCGUAAAGCGCACGUAGGCGGACUUUCAAGUCAGGGGUGAAAUCCCGGGGCUCAACCUCGGAAUUGCCUUUGAUACUGUAGGUCUCGAGUCCGGAAGAGGUGGGUGGAAUUCCUAGUGUAGAGGUGAAAUUCGUAGAUAUUAGGAAGAACACCGGUGGCGAAGGCGGCAUCCUGGACCGGCAUUGACGCUGAGGCGCGAAAGCUAGGGGAGCAAACGGG
This 253-nucleotide ribosomal RNA is filed under the name uncultured bacterium. Its description in RNAcentral is "partial 16S ribosomal RNA". It matches the Rfam family "Bacterial small subunit ribosomal RNA", at positions 524 to 776 of the family's 1533-position model. The record is from RNAcentral.